CAUUAAACUCAUUAACUACUAACUGCAAACCUCAUCAGGCAGCAAUCAACUCAGUAAAAGGAUCUAAAGUAUCAUUUUCCCUGCCACGUGAAUUAAUUUACCUGCAUAAUCUCUAAUAACAAAAGCAAUAGAAGACUAUGAAACCUGUACAGCAACAUCAAAAUUAAUCUUAAAUUAUCCAAAGGAAGAGGGUGACCACUAAAGAAGUUGAAGAUGUAGAG
Molecule: long non-coding RNA, 221 nt
Filed under: Elaeis guineensis (African oil palm)
Lineage: Eukaryota; Viridiplantae; Streptophyta; Magnoliopsida; Arecales; Arecaceae
Description: long non-coding RNA (EGUI_LNC055284)
Source: RNAcentral